This 82-nucleotide non-coding RNA is filed under the name bovine gut metagenome. RNAcentral describes it as "S10-Clostridia ribosomal protein leader". It matches the Rfam family "S10-Clostridia ribosomal protein leader". The record is from RNAcentral.
UGAUAGCGAUGAAGCGCGAGGUUGCUGCGCGUAGCCGCAGGUUUUCCGUGGAGCGAAUGUCAUGUAAGGAUACUGGCGACAA